Molecule: ribosomal RNA, 468 nt
Filed under: uncultured bacterium
Lineage: Bacteria
Description: partial 16S ribosomal RNA
Rfam family: Bacterial small subunit ribosomal RNA
Source: RNAcentral
GACGAACGCUGGCGGCGUGCUUAACACAUGCAAGUCGAACGGAAAGGCCCUGCUUCUGUGGGGUGCUCGAGUGGCGAACGGGUGAGUAACACGUGAGUAACCUGCCCUUGACUUUGGGAUAACUUCAGGAAACUGGGGCUAAUAACGGGUAGGAGCUCCUGCUGCAUGGUGGGGGUUGGAAAGUUUCGGCGGUUGGGGAUGGACUCGCGGCUUAUCAGCUUGGUGGUGGGGUAGUGGCUUACCAAGGCUUUGACGGGUAGCCGGCCUGAGAGGGUGACCGGCCACAUUGGGACUGAGAUACGGCCCAGACUCCUACGGGAGGCAGCAGUGGGGAAUAUUGCACAAUGGGCGGAAGCCUGAUGCAGCAACGCCGCGUGCGGGAUGACGGCCUUCGGGUUGUAAACCGCUUUCGCCUGUGACGAAGCGAGAGUGACGGUAAUGGGUAAAGAAGCACCGGCUAACUACGUG